GAUGAACGCUGGCGGCGUGCCUAAUACAUGCAAGUCGAGCGAACAGAUGAGGAGCUUGCUCCUCUGACGUUAGCGGCGGACGGGUGAGUAACACGUGGAUAACCUACCUAUAAGACUGGGAUAACUUCGGGAAACCGGAGCUAAUACCGGAUAAUAUAUUGAACCGCAUGGUUCAAUAGUGAAAGACGGUUUUGCUGUCACUUAUAGAUGGAUACGCGCCGCAUUAGCUAGUUGGUAAGGUAACGGCUUACCAAGGCAACGAUGCGUAGCCGACCAGAGAGGGUGAUCGGCCACACUGGAACUGAGACACGGUCCAGACUCCUACGGGAGGCAGCAGUAGGGAAUCUUCCGCAAUGGGCGAAAGCCUGACGGAGCAACGCCGCGUGAGUGAUGAAGGUCUUCGGAUCGUAAAACUCUGUUAUUAGGGAAGAACAAAUGUGUAAGUAACUAUGCACGUCUUGACGGUACCUAAUCAGAAGGCCACGGCUAACUACGUG
RNAcentral lists this ribosomal RNA (497 nucleotides) under uncultured bacterium. RNAcentral describes it as "partial 16S ribosomal RNA". It matches the Rfam family "Bacterial small subunit ribosomal RNA", at positions 28 to 507 of the family's 1533-position model. The record is from RNAcentral.